UAAUGUCUGGGAAACUGCCUGAUGGAGGGGGGUAACUACUGGAAACGGUAGCUAAUACCGCAUAAUGUCGCAAGACCAAAGUGGGGGACCUUCGGGCCCUCAUGCCAUCAGAUGUGCCCAGAUGGGAUUAGCUAGUAGGUGGGGUAACGGCUCACCUAGGCGACGAUCCCUAGCUGGUCUGAGAGGAUGACCAGCCACACUGGAACUGAGACACGGUCCAG
This 221-nucleotide ribosomal RNA is filed under the name uncultured bacterium. RNAcentral describes it as "partial 16S ribosomal RNA". It matches the Rfam family "Bacterial small subunit ribosomal RNA", at positions 111 to 334 of the family's 1533-position model. The record is from RNAcentral.